Ictidomys tridecemlineatus (thirteen-lined ground squirrel) is the source of this 4125-nucleotide non-coding RNA. The record is from RefSeq and is a predicted model, not a curated record. Lineage: Eukaryota; Metazoa; Chordata; Mammalia; Rodentia; Sciuridae.
AGAAGAGUGAGCUGGGUGUCCUGCACGACCGGUGGUAGUGAUGGACUCACAGCGUGAUUCUGUGGGUGUGCUGUGCCCAGUACUGGGAAUUGAACACAGGGCCUCAUACAUGCUAGACAAGCACUCUACCACUGAGCGACAUUCUCAACCCCACCUUGAGCACUUUUGUGGCAGAUGGCUUCUUCAGCACUCCGGAGAGCAGAAUCCAGAGGACUGAAUUAACCCUCUUCAAUAGUCAGGGGUUAAGGUAGUGUUUAUACAUGGACAAGAUGGACUGUCAUCUACUCCUUUUGAAGGUCGUUGUGGUCACGGAGCUGAAGUCAAACAAAGAGAUACACCUCCUUGCCUUCUUCUGCAUGUCAAUAUUUUUUCGUUUUAAUAUCCACUUUCCAAUUUCAGGGUUCAAGAGUGCUGGUUUCUGCUUUCAACUCCAAGAUCACUGGGACGUAGGUGUACCUUUCUCUUGGUACAGUAAAGCCUGUAUGGCUCAGCCUCCAUCUGGACCUUUGGUGGCUUAUUUGACUCUGUAGUUUUCUCUAGUCUUCAAAAUAAAACUUUCUGAAACAGGGCUUAAUUCUGGGUUGGAAAUUAGUUGACCAAAGCCACGCUUGAAAGAGUCUUUUCUUUUAUUGAUUUUUUUUUCCUCUGAAGACCAAAGGUUGAAAAACAGCUGUUGGUUGUUUAUACAGUAUUUUUUUAUUUAAGUGUUAGACAAUAGCUGUUUUCUUCUCCACUUAUAACAGCACAUUUUUUUUCUAGGGUCAUUAAAAUCUGUCCAUGUGGCCAGGAAUAUUAGAUGUGCCACUUCCCUCUCUCUACUAGGCUUCUGGAGGAGACUCAGAAUUUUGUUUUCCUUCUUUUUCAAUUUCUGUUUAUUUUGGUCUUAAAGUCAGACUUUGGUGUCUCAGAAUAGAUGGCUGAAUUUGCUUCUGGGUCAGAACCCUGAGGAUCACCUCUUGGGCCAACUUGACACAGGUAUUCAUGUGAGGCACUCUCGAGGAAGCUCCUAAAGGUGCAAGUGUUGGUGGGUUUUGGCUACAUUGCACAAGCAGAAUGAAGUAUGAACUUGGUUAUUGCCAUCUAUCUUGAGCCCAGAACAUUGAUAAUUCUUGCCAGUCCCACUGUCCUUGGGCAUGCUCUGAGGAUUCUAAUUCACUAUUACUCUCAUGGUCUAGAGAUGAGGACUAUCUUUUCUUCAAUCUCCCCUAUUGUAACCUGUGACUAAUGCGUUAGUCAUACUGAGCACAUGGAAACCGCAUAAUAGAUAAUAGAAAAACAUUUUAGUCUUCAGCAAGAUCAGCAGGGCGUAGGGAAGUCUUGUAGGUGAGUAAAACAUACUCCUAGCCUUCAAAAGGAACCACCAAAAACUUUUCUGGCACCUUUUUGCCAUAUGUUAUCACAGAGGUGCUUACUACACAAGAUAAUGAUAACGACAACAAACAGAUAUUAUUUCAAAUUUCCUCAAAAUUUAUUUUUUUCACAAAUGCCUUCUUUUAACCAACUUCUCUUCUUCUAGGUCAUGAGCUUGGAAGGAGGUAUAUAUUUAAAUAUUUUUUCUUUCUUUUGUGGUGCUGGGGACUGAACCCAGUGACUUGCUCAUGGUAGGCAAGUGUUAUACCACUUAGCCACAACCCCAGUCUUCAAGUCGUCGACCUGCAUUUGAUUUACUUAUGUGUAGGGGAAUAAUCUAGAGCAUUACUAGAUUUGGAAACAGUAUCUUCUUGAGGUAACAGGCAUUCAAAUCCUGCCUAAUGAACACUGAGUCCCUUCACAUUCAUUCAUUCAUCAUACCAUAUGCCAGGAUACUGUCAAACCAGUUUCUAGAACAUGGGAAUAAUUACAAAGUGACAUUUGAGAAACACUGCAAGCUUGUUGAAAUAAAGAUACACCUGGAUGAAAGACAACAUUUGUACCUUUCUCUGGGACCCAGGGUAUUUGCCGUACUGAGUGAUAAUGAUGUAUCAUAGUGAUAAUGCCACUUCUGAUCCCCUAAUAAUCCCCUGAGGUACUUCUCAAUCUUAUUGUUUUGUCACACAUGAUUAAACACAUCUUGCUCUUACUUAAUAAAUGAACAACACAUUAUGAUUUUUUUUUUCUUUUGGAAUAAUUGACCCAAAUUAGAUAAUUAGAAAAAUAGUUCCCAUAGUAACUCAAAACAGCAGGUUUGUAUGACAUUAUUUCAAAAAUGGAUUUGUUGUAAAAUAAUAUCUUCCUUUGGGAGAUAAGAGUUUUGGCUGGUUACAGGUUCCUAGAAGUCCUGGAGCAAAGGAACUUUAGUGGGAUUUCACAGGGCAUCUAUUAACCUCUCAGUACAGCCACAGGCAAAGACCAGUCCUGAAAUCUGACUUGCAGUUUAGGCUGGCAGCAUCCUCGGGCACCUUUGUCCUGGCAGCCCAGUCCUGGGAACCACCGAGGAUCCUGGUUGCAGUCACCCCACCCUUAUUGGGCCAUGUCUUCACUAGUCCUCAUCAAUCCCCCUUGGCUGUGUUUAUGGGCAGGGUUCACAUCAGGAGCCACUGCCAAUCAUGGGGUCAGUUCCAUGGAGCCUUUGAACGAAGAGGAGAGAAAUGCUGAUGGUAGAGGGAAAAAAAAAAUCUUUCUUUGCUGUUGUCCCUCCAACCAUCACCUCUUGCCUUCAGGAGGCUUCUUUGCUUUGACGUGCAUUUGCUUUCAUUAUUAAUGACUAUGUAGUUCAUUCGUCCUGGGUGAACCAGUAGGGCUAUAUGAGCUAUAAUGGUUUGAAGCACAGUAUACCACAGCCACUUUUCCAGAAAGGGACAGGCACUCCUGAAUAUCGGGCGGACGGCAUUUACCUUAGCCAUAUUAAGAUUAGAAUGAAAUAUGAAGUCUAAGUUGAAAUGAAUGUGGCAACCACAAAGGAGCACCUGUGACUUUACAGUGAAGAUGGGUGGACCGUGACGUGAACAACUGGGUCACACCAGAAAGUGCCAGCUUCCUGUGCAGGAAGCAUCCCACUCAGUCCCAAGGUCAGAAACCUUAGUCAACAGCAUGCCAAGGUUUUCCCCAUUUCCCACUGGGUAUCUGGGUGUGUGGGGGGUGUGAAGGGACAAGGACAAGGACAAGCAGAAGGGUACAGUUACAUUCUGGUCAAUAAUUCCCUUCAUCAGGGACUGUACAUUGUGGCCAGCAGGAUUUCUCAAAGGAGAGUGUAGUUAGGGCAGCUUUGCAAAACCCCAAGGACAAGAUAGCUUAUAAACAAAAGAAAUUGAUUCCUCACAGUACUGGAGGCUGGAGAGUCCAAGGUCAAGGCCCUGGCAGAUACAGUGUCUGGUUAGGACCCAUUUCUUCACAAGACAGCCAAAUUCUCACUGUGCCUCAUAUGGCAGAAGGGGGAGGGAUCUCCCUGGGAUCUCUUUUUAUAAGACAUUGAUCAGAUUCAACCUUCAUGAACUAAUAACCUCCCAGAGGCCCCAUUUCCUAACACUAUCAUCUUGAGGAUUGUGAUUUCAAUAUAUGAAUUUUGAGGGAACACAAACAUUCAGACCACAGAAGAAGAUGACUUUCAUCUGUCGACGUAAUCAGACUGCAUGUCUCACUCUUGCUACUCUUGACACCAGGCACAGUCUUGCCACACACACAUGGGCUGCCUUUGGUGUUCAGCUGCAGGCUUACUUGACUGCUGUUAUGCUCACUUCCAUUUGACAUGCAUGCUCUUCAUGAGGAGGGGAGGGAGAGCUAGAGACUGGUUGCAUAACAAUCAUUAGUUUUAUAGCUGAGCAAGUUAUGAAUAAUCGUGCUUUCAGCAUUUCAUUACCAAUCUGCCCCCAGGAGCAAGAUGAAGCUGAUAAAAAUGUUUAUGGGCUAGUAAAUUUUUUCUACUAAUUUGCAAGGCUCUAAUAAAACCCAUGAACUUGAUGCCCUGCAGGAAACAUAACAAGAACUAGGAACGUGGAGUAAUUUGGAACUAGAAGACCUCUUCAGGCCCGGCAGGAAAUGACUCCCCCAAACAGAUGAAUCAUAGCAGUUUAAACAGAAAAUAAUAAUGCCAAGUUAACCAGUUAUAGUCUGAGACAAAUAUUUUUCAGAAGAAAAUUGUGGAAAUAGCCUACUUUCAAUUAUUCUUGCCUUAAAGAAUACAAUUAAGUCAAAUAUGUAAAAAAAAAA